GCCCAGCACCGAAUCCUUCACCAUUUUGGGUGACAGGAAAUGUGGUGUUUAGGCCGUACCUUGUCCCGACACGUCUCUCCUCAAGUCCACUUGAUUGUGGCCCCAGGCCCAGAGAGGGUGUAAGGCCCGUGGAGGCGAGAUGUUCGGUACCUGGUGCGUCCUUAGAGUCGGGUUGUUUGGGAAUGCAGCCCUAAGCGGGUGGUAAACUCCAUCCAAGGCUAAAUACUAGCACGAGUCCGAUAGCGAAGAAGUACCGCGAGGGAAGGUUGAAAAGAACUUUGAAGAGAGAGUUCAAGAGUACGUGAAACCGCUGAGAGGCAAACUGGUGGAACUGAAAUGGUCCCGAGGAAUUCAGCCGUUGGAGGUUGCACAGUCGGUGGUGAUUGAUUUAACGACAGCGCCAUCGGAUGACGUUUCCAUCAUCGGUGCACUUUCCUCGUUUUGGGCCCGACCACGACCGGUGAGUUGAUCUGUCUGUCGUGCUUGGAAGAUAGCGCCAUCUUCGGAAGGCGUGUUAUAGACUUGCAUACGGAGCAGUCGACGCACUGGAUGAAAGUGCCUGCCCAUUGGGCUCAUAUGGUGGCUGUUUUACUGUCGAGUGCCGAUGUCACUACUUCGGUAGAGUCGUUGGCCUCUGAUAGCAUUAUGGUUGUCCUCUAUGAUUGGCAUUGUUAAGUCUGUGGUUGUGAAGUAGGUAGUCCACCUGACCCGUCUUGAAACACGGACCAAGGAGUCUAACAUGUGCGCGAGUCAUUGGGUUCACGAAACCUAAAGGCGCAGUGAAGGUAAAGAUCUGCUUUGGCAGAUUGAGGUGGGAUGCUGGGUUACGCGCCCAGCCGCACUACCGGCCCGUUCUAUAUGUAUCUCAUAGGAGCGGAGCAAGAGCGUACACGUUGGGACCCGAAAGAUGGUGAACUAUGCUUGCGCAGGUCGAAGCCAGAGGAAACUC
RNAcentral lists this ribosomal RNA (949 nucleotides) under Phrikoceros mopsus. Its description in RNAcentral is "partial large subunit ribosomal RNA". It matches the Rfam family "Eukaryotic large subunit ribosomal RNA", at positions 107 to 864 of the family's 3401-position model. Lineage: Eukaryota; Metazoa; Platyhelminthes; Polycladida; Pseudocerotidae. The record is from RNAcentral.